AUACGGAGGGUCCAAGCGUUAUCCGGAUUCAUUGGGUUUAAAGGGUCCGCAGGCGAGAAAAUAAGUCAGUGGUGAAAGCCUACAGCUCAACUGUAGAACUGCCAUUGAUACUGUUUUUCUUGAGUAUAGAUGAAGUGGGCGGAAUAUAUCAUGUAGCGGUGAAAUGCAUAGAUAUGAUAUAGAACACCGAUUGCGAAGGCAGCUCACUAAACUAUUACUGACGCUCAGGGACGAAGCGUGGGGAGCGAACAGGAUUAGAAACCCUAGUAGUCC
This 273-nucleotide ribosomal RNA is filed under the name uncultured bacterium. RNAcentral's name for it is "partial 16S ribosomal RNA". It matches the Rfam family "Bacterial small subunit ribosomal RNA", at positions 523 to 796 of the family's 1533-position model. The record is from RNAcentral.